Molecule: ribosomal RNA, 120 nt
Filed under: Vibrio sp. V38_P2S17PM301
Lineage: Bacteria; Pseudomonadati; Pseudomonadota; Gammaproteobacteria; Vibrionales; Vibrionaceae
Description: partial 23S ribosomal RNA
Rfam family: Bacterial large subunit ribosomal RNA (bases 1-102)
Source: RNAcentral
GUCCUGAAGGGUUGUUCGAGACUAGAACGUUGAUAGGCAGGGUGUGUAAGCGUUGUGAGGCGUUGAGCUAACCUGUACUAAUUGCCCGUGAGGCUUAACCAUACAACACCCAAGGGGUUU